Molecule: long non-coding RNA, 3266 nt
Filed under: Sus scrofa (pig)
Lineage: Eukaryota; Metazoa; Chordata; Mammalia; Artiodactyla; Suidae
Description: lncRNA (ENSSSCG00025063264.1)
Source: RNAcentral
AGGCUCUUUUGUCUUUAAUCGUUCCUUCUCCCUACUUUUCAGAACAUUUGUUAAAUAAACUGGGUCAUUAGUUUUAUACAAUUAUCCUUAUUUCAAAUUUGGCUGAUUGCAUUCUUUUCAUCCUGUUAACUUAGUUUCCCUCCCCGUUUCAACUACCCUCACCAGGCCAGAAUAAUAUAUCAGGAGCAGUGCCAUAUUGCUGGUGGUAAAUGUGGAUACUGGGGUCACAUUUCUGUUUACUUGUGUGAUUGGUCCAAAAGCUAGAUGGAUCUUGAAGAAUGGCAAUGGGUUAUCAUAAACUUGAAUAAGGAUAUAUCAUUGUGCUGCUAUUCAGAUAUGGAGAAAAUCAGCACAGUUCCUGCCCCUAGUUUGCAGCUAUAGACCUACUGACUUUCUAUAUCCAAUAGUAAAUCAGAAGCAUUUUUUUUUAAUUUUUACGGCAGGGCCCGGAGUAUAAUUUUAAUGUACUAUGUUAACUCGCUUGCUUUCUGCUGUAAGGUACGAGGGCACCUUGGUCAUCUCCAUGUCCCACAGAACAUUGCACUGAUCCCUUACAUUGAUGAUAUUUUGAUUAUCAGAUCCAGUGACCAAAAAACAGCAAAUUAUGUACACAUGCAGUAAGAUAUUUGUGUGUCUAUGGGUAGGAGAUAAACCCCAGGAAAAUUCAAGGUUCUGCAUGUUGGUGAAUUGCUAAAAUUCUAAUGGUCUGAAGUCCAUCUGGAUAGUCCUUCUAAAGUGAAAGACAAGUUACUAUACCUUGCACUUUACAUCACAGAUAAUUUUUGGUGGGACUCUGGGUUUUAGAGGCAGUGUUACCAUCUUGCUGUAUGUUACUCUGAUGAGUGCACUGACUUGCUCAUAAGACUGCUAGUUUGAGUAGAGACCUACGGAGAGCACCACAGAAAGUUCAAGCUGUGGUGGACGCUGCAUAUCCUUUGGACGUAAUGAUUCUUUGUGUGUAUAUGGCCUUCAGGAAGCCUCAACAGGAAUAUCACUGUGGACAGGCUCUCACAUCCUAGAUUUUAGAGUAAAGUUAUGACCUUUUAUGCUGCUGAAAUUCCGGGAGAAGCAGUUGCUGUUUUAAUAUGGGAUUCUAAAAGAGUUGGAAUAGCUGACCAUGAUAUACCAAGGGACAAUAAGACCUGAGAAACUGCUCAUGAUCUGGGUGUUUUUGACCUAUCAUAGCCUAAAUUCCAUGGCAGCAAUCCAUUUUACUUAAAAAUAGAUCUGGGUUUGAGCAGUUUUGGGGGGCACAAGUAAAUCUGAUAAAAAGGUGGCUCAGACUCACAUGUUACCAUUAUUUUCUCUUUCACUUCCUUUCCUUCAGCUCAUACCCAUGGCCUCAUGGGUCAGGGCCUAUGACCACUUAACAGAAGAGGAAAAUUGAACAUCCGCUUUACAUAUGGGUGUGCAUAAUAUAUAGGCACCAGCUGGUAGAGGAGGCCUAACAUACUUUUACAGACCUUCUUAAACUUGUCUAUGUUCAGAAGUGGAAGGGGAGGUUCCAAAGGGACAGAACUUUCAGCAGUGCAUAUGGUGGUUGCUCUCCUUAGAAAGAAAGGUGGCCUGAAGCAUGGAUCUGCAUUGAGUCACAGGCUUGCUAACAGGGUAGAUGACUGAUCAAGAUCUUAGAAAGGAAGAGUGGUGACAAGAAGGUCUGAGGAAGAAGAAUUCACCCAUUCAGUACAGACUCUUAGUCAUGAGGUGGCAAGAUGGCCUGUACUACAGAUGCCAGCCUCUUUGACCAGCCACGAUGAUUCUUGCUCAAAAGACUUCUUGACAAAAUAGGCGUGGCAUCAAGAAUGGAAGUUACACAUAGACUGAAAAGCAGACUCUCCCUUACCAAGUCUAAUCUGACUAUUGCUCUUGCUGAGUGUCCAACUUAUGUAUAGCCCAGACCAAUACUUUGUCCCCAGUAUGGCUCCAUCCUUCAGGGGGAACCAGCCAGCCACUCUCUGGGAAGUUAAAUGUAUUGGUUUCUUACCAUUAUGGUGGGGGAAACUGUCCUUACAGGAUUCAUAUUCUGGUUACAGAUUUUCCUUCCUUCCUUUUGUCAGCACCACUGUCUACCAUUGAGAGACCCACAAAAUGCCAUAGUGUUCUUUAAGGAAAUCAUCUUCAACCAAGAAGCUCAUUUCAUAGUGAAAGAAGUCUGGCAGUGAGCUUGGGCCCAUGGAAUUCAAUCAUGAGGUCUUCCUGCUUCUUCCUGAUUGAAAAACAGCUGGACUGAAGAGUAGACAGGCCUACUGAAUGCUGAGAGAUUAUCACAGAAUACUGGGUAGAGUUCUCCGUGCUAUACAGCAGGUCCCUGUUGCCCAAUCAUUCCAUAUACCUCAGUCUGCAUGUGGCAACACCAACAGCCCAUCCCUCCCAUCACUGAGCCUGUCCCCUUUGGUAAGUUAUAUGGUUUUUCAAACUGUGAUUCUGUUUCUGUUCUGCAAAUAAGUUCAUUUGUAUUCUUUUUUUUAAGAUUUCACAUCUAAGUGAUAUCAUAUGAUGUUUGUCUUUCACUGUCUAACUUCACGUAGUAUGAUAGUUUCUAUGUCCAUCCAUGUUGCUGCAAAUGGCAUUGUUUCAUUUUUUAUGGCUGAGUAAUAUUCCAUUGUAUAUAUGUAUCACCACAUCUUUAUCCAUUCCUCUGCUCAUGGACAUUUAGAUUGUUUCUAUAUCUUGGCUACUAUAAAUAGUGCUGUAAGACUUCUACAUUUCUUAAUGGAACCUUUGCUUCUGUAUCCUUUCCUAAGAGAGAAAGAGAUAGCACUAGAGUCAUAAGAAGACCUUCACAAUUAUUACUCUGAGCUGUACAUGUAAAAUCUCUAAGAAUCAGGAAAGCGUCACUAGAGGCUGGGGCUUCGUGGCCCUGGCUGCUGACUCCUGUUGCCUCACAUUGUCUUUCCCGAUUUUUUUCUCUUGGAAAAAUUCUCAAAAUAAGUUGCAGCCACACUUAGACUUCAUGCUACUUGAAUUCUUAAAAGUCAUUUAAAAAUUACCAGAAUAUUCUACAUUCUAAAACAUAAAAACAUGGAGUUCCCAUUGUGGCUCAGUGGGUUAAGAACAUGACAUAGUCUCCCUGAGGAUUCCAGUUCAAUCCCUGGCCUCACUCAGUGGGCUGGGGAACCAGCAUUGCCACAAAUGGGUUACAUAUGCAGCUCAGAUCCAGCAUCACUGUGGCUGUGGCACAGGCCUCAGCUGCGACUCCAAUUUGACUCCUAGCCUAGGAACUUCCCAUAGGCAGGAGGUACAGUCAUAAAAAGAAAGAAAAAAAA